This 497-nucleotide ribosomal RNA is filed under the name uncultured bacterium. RNAcentral describes it as "partial 16S ribosomal RNA". It matches the Rfam family "Bacterial small subunit ribosomal RNA", at positions 28 to 507 of the family's 1533-position model. The record is from RNAcentral.
GAUGAACGCUGGCGGCGUGCCUAAUACAUGCAAGUCGAGCGAACGGACGAGAAGCUUGCUUCUCUGAUGUUAGCGGCGGACGGGUGAGUAACACGUGGAUAACCUACCUAUAAUACUGGGAUAACUUCGGGAAACCGUAGCUAAUACCGGCUAAUAUUUUGAACCGCAUGGUUCAAAAGUGAAAGACGGUCUUGCUGUCACUUAUAGAUGGAUCCGCGCUGCAUUAGCUAGUUGGUAAGGUAACGGCUUACCAAGGCAACGAUGCAUAGCCGACCUGAGAGGGUGAUCGGCCACACUGGAACUGAGACACGGUCCAGACUCCUACGGGAGGCAGCAGUAGGGAAUCUUCCGCAAUGGGCGAAAGCCUGACGGAGCAACGCCGCGUGAGUGAUGAAGGUCUUCGGAUCGUAAAACUCUGUUAUUAGGGAAGAACAUAUGUGUAAGUAACUGUGCACAUCUUGACGGUACCUAAUCAGAAAGCCACGGCUAACUACGUG